GCGGGAAAAGCUCAAAUUUAAAAUCUGGCGGUCUCUGGCCGUCCGAGUUGUAAUCUAGAGAAGUAAUGCCCGCGCUGGACCGUGUACAAGUCUCCUGGGAUGGAGCAUCAUAGAGGGUGAGAAUCCCGUCUCUGACACGGACUACCAGGGCUUUGUGGUAUGCUCUCAAAGAGUCGAGUUGUUUGGGAAUGCAGCUCAAAAUGGGGGGUAAAUUCCAUCUAAAGCUAAAUAUUGGCGAGAGACCGAUAGCGAACAAGUACCGUGAGGGAAAGAUGAAAAGAACUUUGGAAAGAGAGUUAAACAGUACGUGAAAUUGCUGAAAGGGAAACGCUUGAAGUCAGUCGCGUUGGCCAGGAAUCAGCCUCGCUUUUGCGUGGUGUACUUUCUGGUUGAUGGGUCAGCAUCAAUUUUGACCACUGGAAAAAGGCCUGGGGAAUGUGGCAGCUUCGGCUGUGUUAUAGCCUCUGGUUGCAUACAGUGGUUGGGAUUGAGGAACUCAGCACGCCGCAAGGCCGGGUUUCGACCACGUUCGUGCUUAGGAUGCUGGCAUAAUGGCUUUAAGCGACCCGUCUUGAAACACGGACCAAGGAGUCUAACAUGCCUGCGAGUAUUUGGGUGAAAAACCCGAGUGCGUAAUGAAAGUGAAAGUUGAGAUCCCUGUCGUGGGGAGCAUCGACGCCCGGACCAGAACUUUUGGGACGGAUCCGCGGUAGAGCAUGUAUGUUGGGACCCGAAAGAUGGUGAACUAUGCCUGAAUAGGGUGAAGCCAGAGGAAACUCUGGUGGAGGCUCGUA
RNAcentral lists this ribosomal RNA (794 nucleotides) under Chlorophyllum arizonicum. RNAcentral's name for it is "partial large subunit ribosomal RNA". It matches the Rfam family "Eukaryotic large subunit ribosomal RNA", at positions 98 to 879 of the family's 3401-position model. The record is from RNAcentral. Lineage: Eukaryota; Fungi; Basidiomycota; Agaricomycetes; Agaricales; Agaricaceae.